RNAcentral lists this ribosomal RNA (361 nucleotides) under uncultured bacterium. RNAcentral's name for it is "partial 16S ribosomal RNA". It matches the Rfam family "Bacterial small subunit ribosomal RNA", at positions 338 to 696 of the family's 1533-position model. The record is from RNAcentral.
CCUACGGGAGGCAGCAGUGAGGAAUAUUGGUCAAUGGACGCAAGUCUGAACCAGCCAUGCCGCGUGCAGGAAGACGGCCCUAUGAGUUGUAAACUGCUUUUGUACGAGGGUAAACGCAGAUACGCGUAUCUGUCUGAAAGUAUCGUACGAAUAAGGAUCGGCUAACUCCGUGCCAGCAGCCGCGGUAAUACGGAGGAUUCAAGCGUUAUCCGGAUGUAUUGGGUUUAAAGGGUGCGUAGGCGGUCGGAUGAGUUAGAGGUGAAAUCCCGAGGCUCAACUUCGGAAGUGCCUGUGAUACUGUUCAGCUAGAGAGUUGUAGAGGUGGGGAGAAUGUAAGGUGUAGCGGUGAAAUGCUUAGAGA